Molecule: ribosomal RNA, 286 nt
Filed under: uncultured Sphingomonas sp.
Lineage: Bacteria; Pseudomonadati; Pseudomonadota; Alphaproteobacteria; Sphingomonadales; Sphingomonadaceae
Description: partial 16S ribosomal RNA
Rfam family: Bacterial small subunit ribosomal RNA
Source: RNAcentral
UUGGCUCAGAACGAACGCUGGCGGCAUGCCUAACACAUGCAAGUCGAACGAUCCCUUCGGGGAUAGUGGCGCACGGGUGCGUAACGCGUGGGAAUCUGCCCUUGGGUUCGGAAUAACAGUGAGAAAUUACUGCUAAUACCGGAUGAUGUCUUCGGACCAAAGAUUUAUCGCCCAAGGAUGAGCCCGCGUAGGAUUAGCUAGUUGGUGGGGUAAUGGCCUACCAAGGCGACGAUCCUUAGCGUGUCUGAGAGGAUGAUCAGCCACACUGGGACUGAGACACGGCCCA